GAGUGGAUACCUAUAGAGGUCGGAUACUUGUAUAGCUAAGAAAAAAUCUCUUUUCUUUUAAAUCCAGAUUUGAAGAAAGAAAUUAUAAAAUAGGUAUGUGAUUCGAUUACAUGUUAAAUUUUAGCAUAUGUCAAUUUCAGCAUAUGAAAUAGAUCCUUAUUAUUUAUAUUUUUAUGCAUGCAUGAUAUAGAUUAAAAAUAUUUUAAUCUAUUUUUUUACUAUG
Molecule: long non-coding RNA, 223 nt
Filed under: Elaeis guineensis (African oil palm)
Lineage: Eukaryota; Viridiplantae; Streptophyta; Magnoliopsida; Arecales; Arecaceae
Description: long non-coding RNA (EGUI_LNC071527)
Source: RNAcentral